This 643-nucleotide ribosomal RNA is filed under the name uncultured Basidiomycota. Its description in RNAcentral is "LSU rRNA". It matches the Rfam family "Eukaryotic large subunit ribosomal RNA", at positions 8 to 635 of the family's 3401-position model. The record is from RNAcentral. Lineage: Eukaryota; Fungi; Basidiomycota.
AAAUCAGGUAGGACUACCCGCUGAACUUAAGCAUAUCAAUAAGCGGAGGAAAAGAAACUAACAAGGAUUCCCCUAGUAACUGCGAGUGAAGCGGGAAAAGCUCAAAUUUAAAAUCUGGCGGUCUUUGGCCGUCCGAGUUGUAAUCUAGAGAAGUGUUACCCGCGUCGGACCGUGUACAAGUCUCCUGGGAUGGAGCGUCAUAGAGGGUGAGAAUCCCGUCUUUGACACGGACUACCGAGGCUUUGUGGUGCGCUCUCAAAGAGUCGAGUUGUUUGGGAAUGCAGCUCAAAAUGGGUGGUAAAUUCCAUCUAAAGCUAAAUAUUGGCGAGAGACCGAUAGCGAACAAGUACCGUGAGGGAAAGAUGAAAAGAACUUUGGAAAGAGAGUUAAACAGUACGUGAAAUUGCUGAAAGGGAAACGCUUGAAGUCAGUCGCGUUGUCCGGGGAUCAGCCUUCCUUCUGGUUGGUGUACUUCCUGGUCGACGGGCCAGCAUCAGUUUUGACCGGUGGAAAAAGUUCGAGGGAAGGUGGCACCUCCGGGUGUGUUAUAGCCCUCGUUCGCAUGCAUCGGUUGGGACUGAGGAACUCAGCACGCCGCAAGGCCGGGAUUCGUCCACGUUCGUGCUUAGGAUGCUGGCAUAAU